This 450-nucleotide ribosomal RNA is filed under the name uncultured bacterium. RNAcentral's name for it is "partial 16S ribosomal RNA". It matches the Rfam family "Bacterial small subunit ribosomal RNA", at positions 354 to 796 of the family's 1533-position model. The record is from RNAcentral.
GUGGGGAAUUUUGGACAAUGGGGGCAACCCUGAUCCAGCCAUCCCGCGUGUGCGAUGAAGGCCUUCGGGUUGUAAAGCACUUUUGGCAGGGAAGAAAAGUUUCGGGCUAAUACCCUGGAGCGAUGACGGUACCUGCAGAAUAAGCACCGGCUAACUACGUGCCAGCAGCCGCGGUAAUACGUAGGGUGCAAGCGUUAAUCGGAAUUACUGGGCGUAAAGCGUGCGCAGGCGGUUCGGAAAGAAAGAUGUGAAAUCCCAGGGCUUAACCUUGGAACUGCAUUUUAAACUGUCGAACUGGAGUAUGUCAGAGGGGGGUAGAAUUCCACGUGUAGCAGUGAAAUGCGUAGAGAUGUGGAGGAAUACCGAUGGCGAAGGCAGCCCCCUGGGAUAAUACUGACGCUCAUGCACGAAAGCGUGGGGAGCAAACAGGAUUAGAUACCCCGGUAGUCC